GUCCCCGUCGUCUAGGGGUCUAGGACACCGGGUUUUCAUCCCGGCAACAGGGGUUCGAAUCCCCUCGGGGAUGC
Molecule: transfer RNA, 74 nt
Filed under: Bacteroidetes bacterium ADurb.Bin217
Lineage: Bacteria; Pseudomonadati; Bacteroidota
Also listed under: 2 other names
Description: tRNA-Glu
Rfam family: tRNA
About the family: Transfer RNA (tRNA) molecules are approximately 80 nucleotides in length. Their secondary structure includes four short double-helical elements and three loops (D, anti-codon, and T loops).
Source: RNAcentral